Long non-coding RNA from Phascolarctos cinereus (koala), 895 nucleotides. RefSeq lists it as uncharacterized. Lineage: Eukaryota; Metazoa; Chordata; Mammalia; Diprotodontia; Phascolarctidae. The record is from RefSeq and is a predicted model, not a curated record.
GUCACGGUCACAGUCACGGUCACGUCCCGAGCGGGCGGCGCGUGCCCGGCCGCCCACGCCUGGCCGAGGGACCCCCAGGAGCAGAGCAGGAGAGACCCGCGAGCUGCCGAGUCCCCCUCCCUCCCGGAGCACUCGGUUCCGGGCUCCGGGGCCGGACGAGGGGCGGGGGGCGAGGAGGGGCCCAGGACUGGGCAUAGAACGCACCUACGAGCCAUUCACAGCCUCCCCCGCCCCCCAGUUGUGUGUUCAAACCCCUCGCUCUGACAUCCCACCCUCCCCACCUGGACCUCAGCCAUGCCUUUCCAACUUGGCCGGACCCAGCAGAGUAGAGACAUCCCGAGAGGAGAAAAAUGAAGCCUGGCAGCAUUCAGCGACAUCCUCGCGAAAUCACACAACUCUCCAGUGUCCCCCGCAGGAUCUGAACCCAAGUCUUCCUGACUCUGCCACCUCUGCUUGAGACAUCAGAGCAAGACAGACUUGAGUUGCACAUUUCCGGAAAACGAGUUCUACUUUCAGGCCAUCGGGGCCUGUUCCCCAGACUCAACAGCUGCAUCUCCCACGUCAUCUCCCAUCUCCGGGCCUUUGCACGGGCUGCUCCCUAGGCGUCUUCACCUCCACUUCAAUUUCCUUGGCUGUUUUCAAAGGUUGUUUCUCCUCAAGCCAGGAAAUUAUUUUGUAUCUAAUCUUUAUGACUCAACAACCUAGGAGCAGAUAAGCUCCAAGAGGGCAGGGCCAGCCUCCUUUUUGGCCUCAUAGCAUCCAGGCCUAGCAUAGCAUCUGACUUGUAGUAGACAUUCUGACAAUGCUUGUUGACUGAAUAAAUGAAAGUCCAAGGUGUCCUUCCAGUGCCUGGGGAGACUUGGGGCUGGGUGGAGGCACCCCCUGGGGGAAGGAG